CCACAAGUCGUAUAGUGGUUUUAGCACUGGAUGAUGACUCCAGAGACCAGGGUUUGAUUCCCAGCUUGACCA
Molecule: non-coding RNA, 72 nt
Organism: Phrynosoma platyrhinos (Desert horned lizard)
Lineage: Eukaryota; Metazoa; Chordata; Lepidosauria; Squamata; Phrynosomatidae
Source: the annotation of a GenBank genome assembly